UUGUAGUCUGCAACUCGACUACAUGAAGCUGGAAUCGCUAGUAAUCGUAGAUCAGCAUGCUACGGUGAAUACGUUCCCGGGUCUUGUACACACCGCCCGUCACACCACGAGAGUUUGUAACACCCGAAGCCGGUGGAGUAACCUUUUGGAGCUAGCCGUCGAAGGUGGGACAAAUGAUUGGGGUGAAGUCGUAACAAGGUAGCCGUAUCGGAAGGUGCGGCUGGAUCACCUCCUUUCUAAGGA
This 243-nucleotide ribosomal RNA is filed under the name Staphylococcus capitis. RNAcentral's name for it is "partial 16S ribosomal RNA". It matches the Rfam family "Bacterial small subunit ribosomal RNA", at positions 1298 to 1533 of the family's 1533-position model. Lineage: Bacteria; Bacillati; Bacillota; Bacilli; Caryophanales; Staphylococcaceae. The record is from RNAcentral.